AUGCUUUAUCUUUUUAGGAGGAAGCGUGCAGGUGAGCCCCUUCUUGUUGAAGAGUGCUGGCCAAAGAAAACGGCAAGAGGCAAUGGCUCUAGAAGAAAGAGAAGUUUUCGUGAAACAAUACACAUUCAACCAGACUUGGAUGGUGUGGUGCAAAAUGAGCAAGACUUGGAUGUGCUGCUGCAAGAUGAGCAAGAUUUUGAUGUUCUGGUGCCAACUGAAGAUAUGGGUACCUCUGAAGAUAUUCAUGCUGAUGUUGUGCAAGCUGAGCCUAUGUUGGAAGUUGAGUUGCCAACUGAAGUUAUUCCAGCUGAUGUGGUGCCAACUGAGCCUAUAUUGGAAGUUGUGUUGCCAACUGGUGAUAUUGGGUCCGAUGAUACUGCAACUGUUGUGGUGCGAAAGGAAGCUUGUGUUCCAGGCAGUCCAGUGAAGAAAAUCAAGGGCUUGAGUGAACUGGGUGUUGUACAACCAAAAACAAGCAUUGGUAAAAAGAAGAAGAAGAAAUCGAGUGGUAGGAAGAAGUAG
RNAcentral lists this ribosomal RNA (522 nucleotides) under Triticum aestivum (bread wheat). RNAcentral describes it as "partial small subunit ribosomal RNA". The record is from RNAcentral. Lineage: Eukaryota; Viridiplantae; Streptophyta; Magnoliopsida; Poales; Poaceae.